ACAGAGGGUGCGAGCGUUGUUCGGAAUCAUUGGGCGUAAAGCGCUUGUAGGCGGUCUGUUAAGUCCUGUGUGAAAGCCCUUGGCUUAACCGGGGAACUGCGUCCGAUACUGGAUGGCUUGAGUUCGGGAGAGGGAUGCGGAAUUCCAGGUGUAGCGGUGAAAUGCGUAGAUAUCUGGAGGAACACCGGUGGCGAAGGCGGCAUCCUGGACCGACACUGACGCUGAGGAGCGAAAGCCAGGGGAGCAAACGGGA
This 253-nucleotide ribosomal RNA is filed under the name uncultured prokaryote. Its description in RNAcentral is "partial 16S ribosomal RNA". It matches the Rfam family "Bacterial small subunit ribosomal RNA", at positions 525 to 777 of the family's 1533-position model. The record is from RNAcentral.